GCCAGAAGUGGUAGCGCAUGCCUGGAAUCCCAGCUACUCGGGAGGCUGAGGCAGGAGGGUUGCAAGUUUGAGACCAGACUCAGCAAUUAGCGAAACCUUGUCUCAA
This 106-nucleotide small RNA is filed under the name Marmota monax (woodchuck). Lineage: Eukaryota; Metazoa; Chordata; Mammalia; Rodentia; Sciuridae. The record is from RNAcentral.